RNAcentral lists this ribosomal RNA (530 nucleotides) under uncultured bacterium. RNAcentral describes it as "bacterial SSU rRNA". It matches the Rfam family "Bacterial small subunit ribosomal RNA", at positions 979 to 1509 of the family's 1533-position model. The record is from RNAcentral.
CCUUGACAUACUAAGAACUUUCCAGAGAUGGAUUGGUGCCUUCGGGAACUUAGAUACAGGUGCUGCAUGGCUGUCGUCAGCUCGUGUCGUGAGAUGUUGGGUUAAGUCCCGNAACGAGCGCAACCCUUUUCCUAUUUGCCAGCGGGUCAUGCCGGGAACUUUAAGGAUACUGCCAGUGACAAACUGGAGGAAGGCGGGGACGACGUCAAGUCAUCAUGGCCCUUACGGCCAGGGCUACACACGUGCUACAAUGGUCGGUACAAAGGGUUGCUACCUCGCGAGAGGAUGCUAAUCUCAAAAAGCCGAUCGUAGUCCGGAUCGCAGUCUGCAACUCGACUGCGUGAAGUCGGAAUCGCUAGUAAUCGCGGAUCAGAAUGCCGCGGUGAAUACGUUCCCGGGCCUUGUACACACCGCCCGUCACACCAUGGGAGUUUGUUGCACCAGAAGUAGGUAGUCUAACCGCAAGGAGGACGCUUACCACGGUGCGGCCGAUGACUGGGGUGAAGUCGUAACAAGGUAAGCGUAGAUGA